This 74-nucleotide transfer RNA is filed under the name Flavobacterium sp. Its description in RNAcentral is "tRNA-Arg". It matches the Rfam family "tRNA". Rfam says of the family: Transfer RNA (tRNA) molecules are approximately 80 nucleotides in length. Their secondary structure includes four short double-helical elements and three loops (D, anti-codon, and T loops). Further hydrogen bonds mediate the characteristic L-shaped molecular structure. tRNAs have two regions of fundamental functional importance: the anti-codon, which is responsible for specific mRNA codon recognition, and the 3' end, to which the tRNAs corresponding amino acid is attached (by aminoacyl-tRNA synthetases). tRNAs cope with the degeneracy of the genetic code in two manners: having more than one tRNA (with a specific anti-codon) for a particular amino acid; and 'wobble' base-pairing, i.e. permitting non-standard base-pairing at the 3rd anti-codon position. RNAcentral also lists the same sequence under 1 other name. Lineage: Bacteria; Pseudomonadati; Bacteroidota; Flavobacteriia; Flavobacteriales; Flavobacteriaceae. The record is from RNAcentral.
GAUUUUGUAGCUCAAUUGGAAAGAGCAUUUGCCUACGAAGCAAAGGGUUGAAGGUUCGAGUCCUUCCAAAAUCA